CACGUAGGGGGCAAGCGUUGUCCGGAUUUAUUGGGCGUAAAGAGCUCGUAGGCGGCUUAGUAAGUCGGGUGUGAAACCUCCAGGCUCAACCUGGAGACGCCACCCGAUACUGCUGUGGCUAGAGUCCGGUAGGGGAGCGUGGAAUUCCUGGUGUAGCGGUGAAAUGCGCAGAUAUCAGGAGGAACACCGAUGGCGAAGGCAGAUCUCCUGGGCCGUAACUGACGCUGAGGAGCGAAAGCGUGGGGAGCGAACAGG
Molecule: ribosomal RNA, 255 nt
Filed under: uncultured bacterium
Lineage: Bacteria
Description: partial 16S ribosomal RNA
Rfam family: Bacterial small subunit ribosomal RNA
Source: RNAcentral